ACGUAGGGGGCAAGCGUUAUCCGGAUUUACUGGGUGUAAAGGGAGCGUAGACGGCAGUGCAAGUCUGAAGUGAAAGCCCGGGGCUCAACCCCGGGACUGCUUUGGAAACUGUGCAGCUAGAGUGUCGGAGAGGCAAGCGGAAUUCCUAGUGUAGCGGUGAAAUGCGUAGAUAUUAGGAGGAACACCAGUGGCGAAGGCGGCUUGCUGGACGAUGACUGACGUUGAGGCUCGAAAGCGUGGGGAGCAAACAG
RNAcentral lists this ribosomal RNA (251 nucleotides) under uncultured bacterium. Its description in RNAcentral is "partial 16S ribosomal RNA". It matches the Rfam family "Bacterial small subunit ribosomal RNA", at positions 525 to 775 of the family's 1533-position model. The record is from RNAcentral.